GGGCUCGUAGUCUAGCGGCUAUGAUGUCGCCUUCACACGGCGAAGGUCCUCGGUUCGAUUCCGAGCGGGCCCA
This 73-nucleotide transfer RNA is filed under the name Candidatus Woesearchaeota archaeon. Its description in RNAcentral is "tRNA-Val". It matches the Rfam family "tRNA". From Rfam's summary of the family: Transfer RNA (tRNA) molecules are approximately 80 nucleotides in length. Lineage: Archaea; Nanobdellati; Candidatus Woesearchaeota. The record is from RNAcentral.